CCUACGGGUGGCUGCAGUGGGGAAUAUUGCACAAUGGGCGCAAGCCUGAUGCAGCCAUGCCGCGUGUGUGAAGAAGGCCUUCGGGUUGUAAAGCACUUUCAGCGGGGAGGAAGGCGUUAAGGUUAAUAACCUUGUCGAUUGACGUUACCCGCAGAAGAAGCACCGGCUAACUCCGUGCCAGCAGCCGCGGUAAUACGGAGGGUGCAAGCGUUAAUCGGAAUUACUGGGCGUAAAGCGCACGCAGGCGGUCUGUCAAGUCGGAUGUGAAAUCCCCGGGCUCAACUUGGGAACUGCAUUCGAAACUGGCAGGCUAGAGUCUUGUAGAGGGGGGUAGAAUUCCAGGUGUAGCGGUGAAAUGCGUAGAGAUCUGGAGGAAUACCGGUGGCGAAGGCGGCCCCCUGGACAAAGACUGACGCUCAGGUGCGAAAGCGUGGGGAGUAAACAGGAUUAGAUACCCUGGUAGUC
Molecule: ribosomal RNA, 465 nt
Filed under: uncultured Klebsiella sp.
Lineage: Bacteria; Pseudomonadati; Pseudomonadota; Gammaproteobacteria; Enterobacterales; Enterobacteriaceae
Description: bacterial SSU rRNA
Rfam family: Bacterial small subunit ribosomal RNA
Source: RNAcentral